Long non-coding RNA from Erpetoichthys calabaricus (reedfish), 864 nucleotides. RefSeq lists it as uncharacterized. The transcript has 5 exons. Lineage: Eukaryota; Metazoa; Chordata; Cladistia; Polypteriformes; Polypteridae. The record is from RefSeq and is a predicted model, not a curated record.
AGCAUCCACUUGCAGAGCCACAGCACCAUACGUCACCGCAGUUUCAGACCCGCAGUUGUAGACCCGCAGUUUUAGACCCGGAAGUGACGUUACCAUUUCUAGGCAAGCCGAAAACAACACCUCCAUUUAUCGAACACAAGUCUUGGUUUUUAGCACGAGCGCAGCAUUUUCGAGCACAAACAAAAUAUGACAGAAAACAGCACGUAACAAGACAAAACGAAUAUCUUCAGGCACAUGGAUACUAAUUAAAAACAAGAAUCUUCCACAGCAGUUGGUUGGGUGAGUGGAUUGUGGAGUAUUCAUGUUGAUGUGUGAUUUACCCUUGAUCAGGAGGUGCUGGUGCUUUAUUCUAUUGGAGAAUUUUGCUGUUGGAAGUUAUCUCUUUCUCUGUGGCUAACGUGUGAAUAUUUCGUACAGGACAAAGGCGUUCACUAAAGGAACCACUAAUAAAAAAGGACCUCCACACUGCAGUAAAAUGGUUGCGCCAACAUAGACGGUUGUUCAGAGGUGCCGUGUCUGAGCCCCAUUUUCUGGAGAUGGAGGAGGAGGACCAAAGCCGAGCUCUCCAGGACAUCAUCGAUGCAGUCGAAACUGAAGAUUUAAUUUUGGCAAAAGAACCCUUUGUAUUUAUUUUUCAGUUUAGGGAUGAUAUGGAACUUUUCACUCAGGAAUGUCGGGAUAAAAUGAAACUUAAAGUAAACUGCAUAUUUAAUGAAUCAGUAUAAUUAUUGUCUGUUGCUACAUUGAUUGUUACUUGUAUUUUAUUGUGCAUUAAUGCUCUAUUGAUUUCAGUUUAUAAUACUUUGAUUUUUCUGUUUUCCUUUGAUGGUGGAUAGUUUUUGAAAAUAAACAAUUUAACUGCAA